Brachypodium distachyon (stiff brome) is the source of this 848-nucleotide long non-coding RNA. RefSeq lists it as uncharacterized. The record is from RefSeq and is a predicted model, not a curated record. The transcript has 2 exons. NCBI's taxonomy places the organism in Eukaryota, Viridiplantae, Streptophyta, Magnoliopsida, Poales, Poaceae.
UAUCCUCUCCCUCUCCUUAUCUUUCUCCCUGCCGCCGCCACCCCCUUAUCUUCCCAAUCUCUCUUCUCUCCCCUGGUCUCUCUCACUCUCCCCGAUCUCUCCUCUCUCCCACGAUCUAUCACUCUCCCCUAUCCAGCCGGCGACGAAGACGGGCCGCGAGCUCCCUCUCUGCAAGGCGUGCCGGCCUCCCUGCCAUCCUUGCCUCGCGGCGACCGGAGAAGUAGGCGCCCUGACCUCCGGUGCCUCUCCGCAACGUGCGCCGCCCCCGACCUCAGGCAUCCCCAACCGCCGGCCCCGCUGGAUCCGGCUGCUCCGGCCCCGUCUCCGCUUGAUCCGGCCAACCCAGCCCCGCCGCCGCCGGAUCAGGCCCCUCCGUCGCCGGAUCCGGGCGCCUCUGCACCCUCUCCCUUGAUCUUGGCUCCGCCCCCCGCCACCAUGGAAAGUAGGCCUCCGCUGCCAUGUGACGGCGUUCUCUACCUCCGCCCGCUGUACGGGUGCUGCACUGCUGCUACGUCAACGACUUGUUAUAUGUUCGUUCCGUGAUUUGUUGUAUGUGAUUUGUUGCAUGUGAUUCGUCGAUUAAUUCAUUGAUUUUUGAACUUUUGAUUCCGGGCCUGUGGCCUGCUUUUUUUUUAAUUGACGAAAAUGCCAUCAGUGUCGGGUGUCUAUUUGACCGUCAUUGAUGGGAACAGGUACCACUGUCGCACACGCCACUGAUGGAAAAUCCAUCAGCCGCCAGUAAUCAGUGGCGUGUGCAACACACGCCACUGAUGGCGAUUUUCACCUGACACUGAUGGCAUGUUUUGUACCAGUGACGUCCCGUUCAAUUCAGCAAUACUUUGCAUCUU